This 535-nucleotide ribosomal RNA is filed under the name Uraeotyphlus narayani (Kannan caecilian). Its description in RNAcentral is "partial 16S ribosomal RNA". It matches the Rfam family "Bacterial large subunit ribosomal RNA", at positions 1817 to 2597 of the family's 2925-position model. Lineage: Eukaryota; Metazoa; Chordata; Amphibia; Gymnophiona; Ichthyophiidae. The record is from RNAcentral.
UGCCUCUAGCAAAACUAGUAUUAGAGGUACUGCCUGCCCAGUGACAUAGUUUAACGGCCGCGGUAUCCUGACCGUGCAAAGGUAGCAUAAUCACUUGUCUUUUAAAUAAAGACUAGUAUGAACGGCAAAACGAAGGCUAAACUGUCUCCUCUAUCUAAUCAGUGAAAUUGAUCUUUUGGUACAAAAGCCAAAAUAAAAAAAUAAGACGAGAAGACCCUAUGAAGCUUCAAACAUAAUAGAAAGUUUUAACAUUACAUGCCAAUACCACUUCUAUGUAGUUUUUGGUUGGGGCGACCACGGAGAAAAAAAAUCCUCCGAGUAUAAGACUGUAGGGUAACCACCCAAAACAUCAGAACCAACUGCCACCAUUGAUCCAAUUAUUUUUGAUCAACGAACCAAGUUACUCUAGGGAUAACAGCGCAAUCCUCUUUUAGAGCCCAUAUCGACAAGAGGGCUUACGACCUCGAUGUUGGAUCGGGAUAACCUAACAGCGCAACAGUUGUUAAAGGUUUGUUUGUUCAACAAUUAAAAUCCC